CUGAAAGCCUGGUGCUUGCACCGGGUGGAUGAGUGGCGAACGGGUGAGUAACACGUGAGUAACCUGCCCCUGACUUCGGGAUAAGCCCGGGAAACUGGGUCUAAUACCGGAUACGACUGCCGGACGCAUGUCUGGUGGUGGAAAGUUUUUUCGGUUGGGGAUGGGCUCGCGGCCUAUCAGUUUGUUGGUGAGGUAAUGGCUCACCAAGACGACGACGGGUAGCCGGCCUGAGAGGGCGACCGGCCACACUGGGACUGAGACACGGCCCAGACUCCUACGGGAGGCAGCAGUGGGGAAUAUUGCACAAUGGGGGAAACCCUGAUGCAGCGACGCAGCGUGCGGGAUGACGGCCUUCGGGUUGUAAACCGCUUUCAGCAGGGAAGAAGCGCAAGUGACGGUACCUGCAGAAGAAGUACCGGCUAACUACGUGCCAGCAGCCGCGGUAAUACGUAGGGUACGAGCGUUGUCCGGAAUUAUUGGGCGUAAAGAGCUCGUAGGUGGUUGGUCACGUCUGCUGUGGAAACGCAACGCUUAACGUUGCGCGUGCAGUGGGUACGGGCUGACUAGAGUGCAGUAGGGGAGUCUGGAAUUCCUGGUGUAGCGGUGAAAUGCGCAGAUAUCAGGAGGAACACCGGUGGCGAAGGCGGGACUCUGGGCUGUAACUGACACUGAGGAGCGAAAGCAUGGGGAGCGAACAGGAUUAGAUACCCUGGUAGUCCAUGCCGUAAACGUUGGGCACUAGGUGUGGGGGGCAUUCCACGUUCUCCGCGCCGUAGCUAACGCAUUAAGUGCCCCGCCUGGGGAGUACGGUCGCAAGGCUAAAACUCAAAGGAAUUGACGGGGGCCCGCACAAGCGGCGGAGCAUGCGGAUUAAUUCGAUGCAACGCGAAGAACCUUACCAAGGCUUGACAUACACCGGACCGUCCUGGAAACAGGUCCUCUUCUUUGAAGCUGGUGUACAGGUGGUGCAUGGUUGUCGUCAGCUCGUGUCGUGAGAUGUUUGGGUUAAGUCCCGCAACGAGCGCAACCCUCGUUCUAUGUUGCCAGCAUGUGGAUGGUGGGAACUCAUAGGAGACUGCCGGGGUCAAUUCGGAGGAAAGGUUGGGGAUGACGUCAAAUCAUCAUGCCCUU
Molecule: ribosomal RNA, 1131 nt
Filed under: uncultured bacterium
Lineage: Bacteria
Description: bacterial SSU rRNA
Rfam family: Bacterial small subunit ribosomal RNA
Source: RNAcentral